GAGUGAAGAAGCCCUUCGGGUUGUAAAGCUCUUUCAGUGAGGAAGAUAAUGACGGUACUCACAGAAGAAGUCCUGGCUAACUCCGUGCCAGCAGCCGCGGUAAUACGGAGAGGGCUAGCGUUAUUCGGAAUCAUUGGGCGUAAAGGGCGCGUAGGCGGAUUAGUAAGUUAAAAGUGAAAUCCCAGGGCUUAACCUUGGAACUGCUUUUAAAACUGCUUAUCUAGAGAUUGAAAGAGGAUAGAGGAAUUCCUAGUGUAGAGGUGAAAUUCGUAAAUAUAGGAG
This 282-nucleotide ribosomal RNA is filed under the name Wolbachia endosymbiont of Howardula sp. Its description in RNAcentral is "partial 16S ribosomal RNA". It matches the Rfam family "Bacterial small subunit ribosomal RNA", at positions 401 to 703 of the family's 1533-position model. The record is from RNAcentral. Lineage: Bacteria; Pseudomonadati; Pseudomonadota; Alphaproteobacteria; Rickettsiales; Anaplasmataceae.